This 3936-nucleotide long non-coding RNA is filed under the name Prunus persica (peach). RNAcentral describes it as "long non-coding RNA (PPER_LNC000420)". The record is from RNAcentral. Lineage: Eukaryota; Viridiplantae; Streptophyta; Magnoliopsida; Rosales; Rosaceae.
UUCAUGACUAUUACAUGUUCUCUCUUACAUCAGUAGAUUCAAAUCUAACGGAUUGCAAUAGUAGGCCAAUGUGAGUAUGACACAUGGCAUUACACAGCUGUCCUAACAGCUGGGAAUUCAAAACAGACUCAAGCAAUGCACCUGGCAUAUAAGCACAAGGCACACAGCUAACACAAAGAUUAAAAACAGAUUGAAUAUAAACUGACAUAAAACUUAGUAACUAAUCUGAAAUUAGCUAGACAGUUUACAUUUUAACACUCCCUUCUAAAGUGCUAGCUGAUUUCACUCCAAGCAUUCUCCUCAAAUAGUCAAACCUGUCUUUGGGAAGAGCUUUGGUGAAGAUAUCAGCAAUCUGCUCUUCUCCCUUGCAGUAGAGCAGUUCAAUCACUUCUUCUUGUAUUGCAUCUCUAAUAAAAUGGAACUUCCUUUUAAUAUGCUUGCUUCGUUGAUGAAAAACUGGAUUUUUAGCCAUUGCUAUGGCUGAAGUGUUGUCACAAAACACAGUUGUUGCAGUCGUCUGUUCUUCCCCAAAAUCUUCAAGAACAAACCUGAGCCAAAUGGCUUGUGAUGUAGCUUCUGCUGCACUCACAUACUCUGCCUCUGCAGUAGAGAGAGCCACACUGUGUUGUUUGACUGAUGCCCAUGAAAAAGCACCACUUCCAAAUGAAAAUGCAUAUCCAGAAGUGCUUUUCAUAUCUUCCUCAGAUCCACUCCAGUCACUGUCACAAUAACCAACUAAGAGUGCAGAUUUUCCUGUCACAUACUCAAUUCCAUAGUCAAUUGUGCCUUGUAUGUACCUUAGAACCCUUUUAGCUGCCCCAUAGUGCAUCUUAGAAGGGUUGUGCAUGAAUCUUGCAAGCAAGCAGGCAGAGAACAUGAUAUCUGGCCUGGUUGCAGUAAGGUACAGCAGGCUGCCAACAAUUUUUCUGAACAAACUUUCAUCUGCAGCAUCACUUCCAUCCUCUCUUUUCAAUUUAUCAGUAGCCACUAAUGGAGUGCUUACUGACUUGCAGUCUUUAAGUCCAAACUUAUCCAAGAGAGUGAGAGCAUACUUCUUUUGAUGAAUGAAGAUGCUCCCUUCAGUUUGUGUUACUCCGAUACCAAGAAAAUGGUGGAGUAAACCCAAGUCAGACAUCUCAUACUUGCACAUCAUUUCAGCUUUGAAUUCUUUCAUCAUUUCAUCACUACUUCCUGUGUACACUAUGUCAUCUACAUAGAUUGACACUAUUAGUGUUCCCACACCUUCCUUUGUUCUCACAUAGAGAGUGGCUUCACUUGGACUUUUGUGAAAACCACACUGACUCAAGUAGGUGUCAAUUUCACUAUACCAGGCCCUUGGAGCCUGCUUCAACCCAUAGAGAGCUUUUCUUAACCUAUACACCUUAUCCUCAUCACCUUUAACCACAAAACUAUCCGGUUGAUCAACAUAAACUUCUUCUUCAAGGACACCAUUUAAGAAGGCUGACUUGACAUCCAAUUGCCAUAGUUUCCAGCCUUUCUGAGCAGCAAGAGCAAUGAGAGUUCUAAUGGUGUCUAACCUUGCCACAGGAGCAAAGGUUUCAUUGAAAUCAAUCCCUGGUUUUUGUGUGAAUCCCUUGGCAACAAGUCUUGCUUUAUGUUUUUGAAUGGAGCCAUCAAGAUUAAGCUUAAUUUUGAAUAUCCACUUCACUCCCACAAUUGGUUUACUACUUGGCCUGUCAACCAAUUCCCAAGUGGAGUUUUUCUCUAUCAUAAGUAUCUCCUCCGUCAUAGCCUUCCCCCAAGCUUCAUCUUUGACUGCUUCUUCAAAAUUUUCAGGUUCAAUGAUGCUCAUCUUGCAUUGAGCAUACACUUCACUCAAAUUCUUCCAUUUCUUUGGGGUGUGAUCAUAAGGUUCUAAUGGAGCAGAGUCUUGAGUAGUAUGCACAUCACUAUUUGUUUGUGUUUCCAUAGGAGACUGCACAAUCUGAGCAGACCUUCUCAUGUUCUUGUAAAUUGGGCAGUCCCUGAACCAUAUCUUCUCCUGUAACAACUUCAAACUAAUAUAGUUUAGGUGGCCAAAUCUUCUGUGCCACAGCCAGGAAGUUUCUCCAAUUGUUGCUCUGUUUGCCACAGGAGGAUUGACAUAGUCAAGAUUCAAAGGAAAACAUCUGUUUUCCUUCAUUGGCACUCUUGCAAUGCAAUCUUCCAGCUGCCUAUCUCCAUAGAUAUCAACUGCAUUGUCACCAAAUACAAGCCAAUGCCCAUGUUCUAUCAUUUGACCUACACUUAGCAAAUUUUCAUCUAACCCUGGUACAAUCAUGACUUCUUUGAUAUAUCUAGUCACACCCUUCAUUUCUAUAGCCAAAGUCCCUUUGCCUAUUGACUGCACUAGAUCACCAGUCGCCAUUUUGACUUUACUCUUCACACUUUUAUCAAUAUUUACAAGUAAUGACUCAUGAGAAGUCAUGUGAUUGCUGCAUGCACUAUCUACAUACCACAUAUUCACAUUCUUUCCAAUUGUUGCAGCAUGGCAUGCAUAGAACAUAAUAGCAGGUUCAGUUACCUGAUUUGCAAUGUUAGCAAGUUUCCCUGCCUUGUUUGCUUGGUCACAGUCCUUGACAAAAUGACCAAAACGAUUGCAGCCAUGACACUUUGGUUUUCCUUUAAACCAACACUCACCAUAGUGUAACUUCUCACAAUGUUUGCAUUUUCCAGACUUGUCUCCUUGACUUGGUUUUCCCCCUUGAUUGGCACUGUUUUGAGGUUUAGAAUCCCAUUUCUUAUCCUUGGACUUCCAGUUCUUCUUUGAUUUAUUUGAGCCAGAACUAGAACUUGAUUGUGAUCCUUUUGAGUUUAUGCUCAUGCUGCUGAAAGCUUUCUCAGUGGUGCUUUCUGCAUGUCUGUCAAGGCGCUGAGCAAAACCUCUUAAUGCUGCAAUGACCUCCUGCACUUCAAUAGUUUCAAUGUCCCUAGUUUGCUCAAUCACAUAACAGACUGGAUCAAACUCCUUGGUUAGACUUAUUAGCAGUUUUUGAACUAUCCUCCCUUUGGUCAGAUCUUCCCCAUAUCCCUUCAUUUGAUUUACAAGCUCAAGUAGCCGAGUGAUGUAUCCAGACAAGAUCUCAUCAUCCCUCAUCCUGGUGUACUCAAAAUCUCGACGCAGACCCUGCAACAUGAUGGAUCUGACUUGCUUAUCACCAUGAAACUCCUGAUGCAAGAUAUCCCAAGCACCUUUUGAGGUUUCUUCAUUUGAGAUUCUGGGGAAGAUGUCAUCUGAAACAGCACCUUGGAUAAUACCAAGAGCCUUAGCAUCCUUCAUCAACAAGGACACCAUUGCUGAAUCUGAUGACCCUUCUUCAUCAGCUUUUGAAUCUGGAACUUGAAGGCAUUUCUCAACCAAAUUCCAAAUUCCAUGAGAUUUGAAAAUUGUUCUCAUUCGAAUCUUCCAAAACUCAUAGUUCUCCCCAUUGAAUAUUGGAGCUCUAAGAUCACUCCCUCCUGACCCAGCCAUCUUAGACCAGAAUCAAUGAGCUGAGAGUAGGAAUUUCUCGUUGGAUUUCCAGACUCAGCUCACACAGCUUCAACUCCCUAUCCAGAUCCAACCUGCGCACCUGAUACCAUGUUGAAUAUUUGGAUUGCAAAGGGAGCAAGAAAUGUACUGAGAGAGAGAGAGAGAGAGAGAGAGAGAGAGAGAGAGAGAGCAGUGAGCCUUAGAUUGUUCUAACAGAAUUCUUACCCUGCAUAAACAUUGCAGCAGAGCUUAUAUUCCUUCAUGACUAUUACAUGUUCUCUCUUACAUCAGUAGAUUCAAAUCUAACGGAUUGCAAUAGUAGGCCAAUGUGAGUAUGACACAUAGCAUUACACAGCUGUCCGAAUAGCUGGGAAUUCAAAACAGACUCAAGCAAUGCACCUGGCAUAUAAGCACAAGGCACACAGCUAACACAAAGAUUAAAAACAGAUUGAAUAUAAACUGAC